UGCUCGAAGAUGGUUGAGAGUGGCGCACUGGGUGCGUAACGCGUGAGCAACCUACCUCUAUCAGGGGGAUAGCCUCUCGAAAGAGAGAUUAACACCGCAUAAUAUCAACAGUUCGCAUGUUCGGUUGAUUAAAUAUUUAUAGGAUAGAGAUGGGCUCGCGUGACAUUAGCUAGUUGGUAGGGUAACGGCCUACCAAGGCGACGAUGUCUAGGGGCUCUGAGAGGAGAAUCCCCCACACUGGUACUGAGACACGGACCAGACUCCUACGGGAGGCAGCAGUAAGGAAUAUUGGUCAAUGGGCGGAAGCCUGAACCAGCCAUGCCGCGUGCAGGAUGACUGCCCUAUGGGUUGUAAACUGCUUUUGUCCAGGAAUAAACCUAAAUACGUGUAUUUAGCUGAAUGUACUGGAAGAAUAAGGAUCGGCUAACUCCGUGCCAGCAGCCGCGGUAAUACGGAGGAUCCGAGCGUUAUCCGGAUUUAUUGGGUUUAAAGGGUGCGUAGGCGGCCUAUUAAGUCAGGGGUGAAAUACGGUGGCUCAACCAUCGCAGUGCCUUUGAUACUGAUGGGCUUGAAUCCAUUUGAAGUGGGCGGAAUAAGACAAGUAGCGGUGAAAUGCAUAGAUAUGUCUUAGAACUCCGAUUGCGAAGGCAGCUCACUAAGCUGGUAUUGACGCUGAUGCACGAAAGCGUGGGGAUCGAACAGGAUUAGAUACCCUGGUAGUCCACGCCCUAAACGAUGAUAACUCGAUGUUGGCGAUAGACAGCCAGCGUCCCAGCGAAAGCGUUAAGUUAUCCACCUGGGGAGUACGCCCGCAAGGGUGAAACUCAAGGAAUUGACGGGGGCCCGCACAAGCGGA
Molecule: ribosomal RNA, 856 nt
Filed under: Sphingobacterium multivorum
Lineage: Bacteria; Pseudomonadati; Bacteroidota; Sphingobacteriia; Sphingobacteriales; Sphingobacteriaceae
Description: bacterial SSU rRNA
Rfam family: Bacterial small subunit ribosomal RNA
Source: RNAcentral